ACUCACGACGCAGUUUGGGUCAUCGUUGAGCUAUUCACUGAUUGCGAGACCUCGGGGUUCGUCGAAUGAAUGAUACGAUACAGGAACGAACGUAACGGCAUUGCUGACUCGCUUAGCAACUAUUUCUCACGCGAUGGACGGUAUUACUGACGACGUAAUCGUCAGCAAACGCAUUUCCUGCAUUUGUUUGUUAGGGAACUGCGGAACAUCGGCCUGGAGAUUAAAUAGAUUUGGACACGAGUAUGAUAUUAUAAAUAUAGAGUAUAAUAGUUGUUGCGAUGGUUCUCUCACGAGUGCAAUUAAAUUCGGAAACGAAACGUGGACAAAAGUUCUGGGAUCCUCGAAACGAAACGUAUGAAUUCCUCGAAUGAUAUGCUUCCUAUUUGAGUGAAGACCAUUUCUUGAAGCACCUAAUUAUUGGAAAAAUAAAAUUAUUGGAAAUGCUACGAGAUUAUUACCGAAAAUAGAAAAUGCCCAGGCAGCACGAGCCUCGUCGUCGGCAUUUUCAGAGAAAGCUGAGCACAGGUCCAAAACGUCUUCGAGGGACAGGUGUCGAUCAUUUUUGGAGGAGAAAACUCGAUAUAUCGAGUCGCGAAAUGGACUGCACUGAAAGCAAUUCCAUAAUCACUACUCGCUGCUUACUACGAGUGGCGAGUAAAAAUAAUAAUGAAAAUGUUCGUUGAACGUAACAAUUAAAACGAUACUCGACUUACUCGAAUUUCUGGGAACACCGUCUCGAUUUGGUCUGUAGAGAAACGAUGUUGAAGAUCCUCGCGAAGUAUCCCUGGCUCUAUGUUAUCGAGCAGCUUGGCAAUACUGAAAAAACAAUGAGCUUUGAAGAUAAAAUAGAUGAGAAUUAAUUGAAUUAUUAUUAAGUUGUAUUCGAAGGAGUGUUUGGAAUUGUUUAAUUGUAUCGCUCACUAUUGUAUCUGGUUUUUCGUCAAGUAUGUCAAUUCAGCAUAAGUCUGAACCGAUUCCUCGUUAAGAAUAUUGUUUUUCGACCACACGUUUCCCAUGGCGAUGCACAAACAAUCAACUGUCAAACGCGAGGAUAUCAAUGUAAUUAUCAAUGUAACGAUAACUGUUAUCUCUCUUGGAGAGAAUCUCGUAUAUCAUCAUCCUAAUUCUAUUUUACUGAUAAACGUCAUUCGAGUAUCAAUUCCCUUUCGAACGAUCUUGCAUAUGACUAAUUUAAAUAGAAAAUCUCAGUUAACGUCCAAGAUCAAUUUCUUUUUUUAUUUCUGACUUUCAUUGAUUUCUAUUAUCCUGUUUCUUGGUUACACCUUAUUUUGUACAGAAUUGCAGUAGUGUAGUAGCGUGGAAACAAAUAUAUUUACAUUGGUUGCAUCUGAUUUUACAUGGA
Hylaeus volcanicus is the source of this 1363-nucleotide long non-coding RNA. RefSeq lists it as uncharacterized. The transcript is spliced from 2 exons. The record is from RefSeq and is a predicted model, not a curated record. Lineage: Eukaryota; Metazoa; Arthropoda; Insecta; Hymenoptera; Colletidae.